This 222-nucleotide ribosomal RNA is filed under the name Triticum aestivum (bread wheat). RNAcentral's name for it is "partial small subunit ribosomal RNA". The record is from RNAcentral. Lineage: Eukaryota; Viridiplantae; Streptophyta; Magnoliopsida; Poales; Poaceae.
GCUUUAUAAGAUCGUAUUUGAAUCUUUGAUAAGUUGGAGAAACGUGGUUGGCUCAAUUGCCGCCUAUGCCAACUUUGCAAAAAAGAGCAAAAAAUGGGUGCUCACCUUUUCUUGAAGUGCCAUUACACUAUUAGGCUUUGAAGGUUGAUUAUUAAGAAACUGGGUCUUGCACACAUGGACACCUCCAAUUGCCACUUAGAGGAGUCCGUCAAGGACCAGUGA